UAAGGAAUAUUGGACAAUGGUCGCAAGACUGAUCCAGCCAUGCCGCGUGCAGGAAGACGGCCCUAUGGGUUGUAAACUGCUUUUGUACCAGAGAAAAACUAUCUACGUGUAGAUAGCUGAUAGUAUGGUAAGAAUAAGCAUCGGCUAACUUCGUGCCAGCAGCCGCGGUAAGACGAAGGAUGCAAGCGUUAUCCGGAUUCAUUGGGUUUAAAGGGUGCGUAGGCGGGCUUGUAAGUCAGUGGUGAAAUCUCUCAGCUUAACUGAGAAACUGCCAUUGAUACUGCAGGUCUAGAGUAUAGAUGACGUUGGCGGAAUAUGACAUGUAGUGGUGAAAGACUUAGAUAUGUCAUAGAACACCGAUUGCGAAUGCAGCUAACGAAACUAUAACUGACGCUGAGGCACGAAAGUGCGGGGAUCAAACA
RNAcentral lists this ribosomal RNA (422 nucleotides) under uncultured bacterium. RNAcentral's name for it is "bacterial SSU rRNA". It matches the Rfam family "Bacterial small subunit ribosomal RNA", at positions 355 to 774 of the family's 1533-position model. The record is from RNAcentral.